This 164-nucleotide ribosomal RNA is filed under the name uncultured Glomeromycotina. Its description in RNAcentral is "partial 18S ribosomal RNA". The record is from RNAcentral. Lineage: Eukaryota; Fungi; Glomeromycota.
UUCUUGGAUUUAUUGAAGACUAACCUACUGCGAANUNCANGGGCCAAGGAUGUUUUCAUUAAUCAAGAACCGAAAGUUNUUANAGGGNAGACGAUCAGAUACCGCGUGCGUAGUCUUAACCCAUAAACCUAUGCCGACCUAGGGAUCCGGAUGAUUAUANCCNA